GCCGGGCUGGCUCAGUUGGUAGAGUGUGUGAUUUUUGAUCUUGGGGUUGUGAGUUUGAGCCCCAUGUUGGGUA
RNAcentral lists this transfer RNA (73 nucleotides) under Canis lupus familiaris (dog). It matches the Rfam family "tRNA". Rfam says of the family: Transfer RNA (tRNA) molecules are approximately 80 nucleotides in length. Their secondary structure includes four short double-helical elements and three loops (D, anti-codon, and T loops). Further hydrogen bonds mediate the characteristic L-shaped molecular structure. tRNAs have two regions of fundamental functional importance: the anti-codon, which is responsible for specific mRNA codon recognition, and the 3' end, to which the tRNAs corresponding amino acid is attached (by aminoacyl-tRNA synthetases). tRNAs cope with the degeneracy of the genetic code in two manners: having more than one tRNA (with a specific anti-codon) for a particular amino acid; and 'wobble' base-pairing, i.e. permitting non-standard base-pairing at the 3rd anti-codon position. Lineage: Eukaryota; Metazoa; Chordata; Mammalia; Carnivora; Canidae. The record is from Rfam by way of RNAcentral. RNAcentral also lists the same sequence under 1 other name.